Molecule: small RNA, 261 nt
Filed under: Oryza sativa Japonica Group (Japanese rice)
Lineage: Eukaryota; Viridiplantae; Streptophyta; Magnoliopsida; Poales; Poaceae
Description: misc RNA Os08g0424200
Source: RNAcentral
GUAAAUCAUGCAUUAUAAUUGUGUACAAAUCCCUGUAUACUGUAUAGUAAAAUCCGCUUUCAUGCGCAUUGAAAUAAGGCAAAAUAAAAUGCCAUUCCAAGGCUUAUUUCGCAAGUAUAAUUUCGCCCUGAUGUGUAUAACAAAGUUAUGUUUACCAGUGUUUUAGUGGCGAAUAAACUGUUUAAGUUGUUACUGUAGCUAAAAUACAUUGAUAGACUAUUGUUCUGAGUCCACAAUCCGUCAAUGUAUAUUUUUUCUCUU